This 684-nucleotide ribosomal RNA is filed under the name uncultured bacterium. Its description in RNAcentral is "bacterial SSU rRNA". It matches the Rfam family "Bacterial small subunit ribosomal RNA", at positions 9 to 705 of the family's 1533-position model. The record is from RNAcentral.
GAGUUUGAACCUGGCUCAGGAUGAACGCUGGCGGCGUGCCUAAUACAUGCAAGUCGAGCGAACCACUUUGGUGGUGAGCGGCGAACGGGUGAGUAACACGUAGGUGAUCUGCCCAUCAGACGGGGACAACGAUUGGAAACGAUCGCUAAUACCGGAUAGGACGAAAGUUUAAAGGUGCUUCUGGCACCGCUGAUGGAUGAGCCUGCGGCGCAUUAGCUAGUUGGUAGGGUAAAGGCCUACCAAGGCGACGAUGCGUAGCCGACCUGAGAGGGUGAACGGCCACACUGGGACUGAGACACGGCCCAGACUCCUACGGGAGGCAGCAGUAGGGAAUCUUCGGCAAUGGGCGAAAGCCUGACCGAGCAACGCCGCGUGAAUGAUGAAGGCCUUCGGGUUGUAAAAUUCUGUUAUAAGGGAAGAACGACUUUAGUAGGAAAUGGCUAGAGUGCGACGGUACCUUAUGAGAAAGCCACGGCUAACUACGUGCCAGCAGCCGCGGUAAUACGUAGGUGGCGAGCGUUAUCCGGAAUUAUUGGGCGUAAAGAGCGCGCAGGUGGUUGAUUAAGUCUGAUGUGAAAGCCCACGGCUUAACCGUGGAGGGUCAUUGGAAACUGGUCGACUUGAGUGCAGAAGAGGGAAGUGGAAUUCCAUGUGUAGCGGUGAAAUGCGUAGAGAUAUGGAGGA